Nanorana parkeri is the source of this 96-nucleotide long non-coding RNA. RefSeq lists it as uncharacterized. The transcript has 3 exons. NCBI's taxonomy places the organism in Eukaryota, Metazoa, Chordata, Amphibia, Anura, Dicroglossidae. The record is from RefSeq and is a predicted model, not a curated record.
CCUUGUUGCUGCACCGGCUGCAGAUGAUCUCGGAGACUGGCAAUGCUGCUCGUGGUGACAACCUCAUGCUUCCUGUAGUGAGUGACCCACUUUCCC